UAGGGAAUCUUCGGCAAUGGGGGGAACCCUGACCGAGCAACGCCGCGUGAGUGAAGAAGGUUUUCGGAUCGUAAAGCUCUGUUGUUAAGGAAGAACGAGUGUGAGAAUGGAAAGUUCAUGCUGUGACGGUACUUAACCAGAAAGGGACGGCUAACUACGUGCCAGCAGCCGCGGUAAUACGUAGGUGGCAAGCGUUGUCCGGAUUUAUUGGGCGUAAAGCGAGCGCAGGCGGUCAAUUAAGUCUGAUGUGAAAGCCCCCGGCUCAACCGGGGAGGGUCAUUGGAAACUGGUUGACUUGAGUGCAGAAGAGGAGAGUGGAAUUCCAUGUGUAGCGGUGAAAUGCGUAGAUAUAUGGAGGAACACCAGUGGCGAAGGCGACUCUCUGGUCUGUAACUGACGCUGAGGCUCGAAAGCGUGGGGAGCGAACAGG
RNAcentral lists this ribosomal RNA (430 nucleotides) under Bacteroidota bacterium. RNAcentral's name for it is "Bacteroidetes bacterium partial 16S ribosomal RNA". It matches the Rfam family "Bacterial small subunit ribosomal RNA", at positions 355 to 776 of the family's 1533-position model. Lineage: Bacteria; Pseudomonadati; Bacteroidota. The record is from RNAcentral.